This 440-nucleotide ribosomal RNA is filed under the name uncultured bacterium. Its description in RNAcentral is "partial 16S ribosomal RNA". It matches the Rfam family "Bacterial small subunit ribosomal RNA", at positions 338 to 795 of the family's 1533-position model. The record is from RNAcentral.
CCUACGGGUGGCAGCAGUGGGGAAUAUUGCACAAUGGGGGAAACCCUGAUGCAGCGACGCCGCGUGAGUGAAGGAGUAUUUCGGUAUGUAAAGCUCUGUCAGCAGGGAAGAAAAUGACGGUACCUGACCAAGAAGCCCCGGCUAACUACGUGCCAGCAGCCGCGGUAAUACGUAGGGGGCAAGCGUUAUCCGGAUUUACUGGGUGUAAAGGGAGCGUAGACGGCAGGGCAAGUCCGGAGUGAAAGGCGGGGGCUCAACCCCCGGACUGCUCUGGAAACUGCCAGGCUGGAGUGCGGGAGGGGCAAGUGGAAUUCCUGGUGUAGCGGUGAAAUGCGUAGAUAUUAGGAGGAACACCAGUGGCGAAGGCGGCUUGCUGGACUGUAACUGACGUCGAGGCUCGAAAGCGUGGGGAGCAAACAGGAUUAGAUACCCGUGUAGUC